UAUCUGAUUUCUGAAUGUUUUUUAGUAGGCUUAAUUAAGGUUAUGGUUGGUAGAAUAAGUUUAUGUACUUGCAAAUUUGCUUAUAGUGAGUAGAAUGUCUGUUGGGGAACCAUCAAAAUAGUGUUAGCA
This is a long non-coding RNA of Sinocyclocheilus rhinocerous, 129 nucleotides long. RefSeq lists it as uncharacterized. The record is from RefSeq and is a predicted model, not a curated record. The transcript is spliced from 3 exons. NCBI's taxonomy places the organism in Eukaryota, Metazoa, Chordata, Actinopteri, Cypriniformes, Cyprinidae.